UCCGUGUCUCUGUUCAGAACUCUUUCCUCAUCCGCUUGCGGCGCCUAACCUAGCAGCAGCCGGCCAACGAGAGUCCACUCCGCCUCCACUCCAGCUUUGAGCUCGUACGGUCGCACCUCACUAGCCAGAGCAUUGCCCGCGUCCACUCCUCCCCCCCUUCAGAUAUGUCCAUCGACACUCGACAGUCCCACUCCCAAAUUACAGAAGCUCAGCGCCGUCCACUUUACUCUCCAGCUCUUCCCCUCGAAUUCGACGAUGAAGUUCUAGUUUCUCAUAUCUAAUCUCCCCUCCUCCUCUGUUCUCAUCUAGCUCGUGGGUCCUCCCUCGUGGGUCGUCAAUAGUUUCAGGAGUCCAUGCAGAAUCUCAGUAAUUAUACACGGUUUAAAUUUGGUUGACAGUGAUGGAAAAGGGCUAGUGUUUUGUGACUGUUAAAGAUUUAGUUGGAAAGGAGAUUGAUGCUUGUGAUUGUUCUACACUCCAGCAACUUAAGCAGUUAAGCUCAAGACAAAGAGGAAUCGAAGAGUCUAAUCAUGAGAGCAGUUCCAUUAGAGAAGCUAUGGCAAAGACAUGUUGGAGUAAUGUUCUAAGCCGAUCUUAUUUUGGAAAGGGAGAGGCCGUUAGAAGUUCUGUAAACUUGCAUGCAUUAAGGUUACUUUCUUCAUGAUGAUCAUACUUGAUCCUUUGGUUACAUUUAUUCAUACUGUGUUUGUUGUGUUGUAGAUUUGUUUUGCUAUAUAUGAGAAACAGAUUCAUAAUAAGUUUAAUGGUCAACAUAAUAAUACUAUAAUAUAAGAAGUCUUCAAUGAAAUAAUAUAUUAUGGUUUGAAAAUA
This is a long non-coding RNA of Neltuma alba, 831 nucleotides long. RefSeq lists it as uncharacterized. NCBI's taxonomy places the organism in Eukaryota, Viridiplantae, Streptophyta, Magnoliopsida, Fabales, Fabaceae. The record is from RefSeq and is a predicted model, not a curated record. The transcript has 2 exons.